This 223-nucleotide long non-coding RNA is filed under the name Pan troglodytes (chimpanzee). Its description in RNAcentral is "long non-coding RNA NONPTRT001748". Lineage: Eukaryota; Metazoa; Chordata; Mammalia; Primates; Hominidae. The record is from RNAcentral.
GUCCAAUUUGAAGUGCUUGUAAAAGAUCUACUUUGUCAUGUCCAGCUGAUAUCUGGAAUGUCAGCUUGCUGCUUGGGAAAGAGGUCAUUACAGGGCAUUUAACUUUGGGAGACAACUAUAUAUAGAGGUGAUGAUUGAAAACUUGAGAACAGAUGAAAAAGAGAAGAAGUAUAUAUACGUAACAUCUACUAUAUGCCAUGAACUAUAGAUACAGAUGCCACAG